GCCUGGCUGGCUGAGUUGGUAAAGCUUGUGACUCUUGAUCUUGAGAUUGUGAGUUUGAGCCCCCGUUGGGCA
RNAcentral lists this transfer RNA (72 nucleotides) under Felis catus (domestic cat). It matches the Rfam family "tRNA". From Rfam's summary of the family: Transfer RNA (tRNA) molecules are approximately 80 nucleotides in length. Their secondary structure includes four short double-helical elements and three loops (D, anti-codon, and T loops). RNAcentral also lists the same sequence under 5 other names. Lineage: Eukaryota; Metazoa; Chordata; Mammalia; Carnivora; Felidae. The record is from Rfam by way of RNAcentral.